AAUCAUUGCAAGCUUAGAAGCAAAGUGCACGAGUGAAUCCAAGGUCCUUAAGACCUGAGCUAAAUCCGGUGCUCUAGCUAAUUCCUCAAUUGAAGCACAAACUUGGGAUGGAUCGAUCAGUAGUUAAUUCUGUCUGUGUUGGUUUGGCUUGAGUACAGUAUCCACCCACACUAUUAGGCUUGUUUGGGCUCCACUGAGGCCUCAGCCAAAGCUUAGCCUCAUUUUCAAAUGAUUUGCUUGUCAUUUCGUCCAUGUAUAUCACAUAAGUUGCAGUAAUAUAGUGGCGUGUGCCUUAGUAAAUCUUUAUGGUCAUGACUCAUCUCUGCCGGCAACCUGUGCCUCCACUAGACUACACAUCUCAUAAAAAAGCUGAAUGAAGAUGGCCCCUGUAGCUCUUUUUGGGCCAUUUUCUCUUGUCACCAAUCGUUCAGCGUUUGGAUAUAUUAGUUUGACAAGCAAGCAGGUUGAAAAUUAAAGGGUUCCAUCGUAAGCACCCACCAAGCAACCAUUAUUAGCACCAAAACUAUUCGACAAAAGUCGAAGGUUGAUGGGAUGAAUGCGGAAUGCCUCACACGGAGCCUAUGGCCAUGGAGCUGCCAAUGCCCAGUAGUGUUACGGUCAUCCUAGCCCCAUCAGCUUUAUUCAUUCUAGGCAUCUAAGCACUGCCUCAAGCCCUUUGUUGCAUGACACGUAGAUGGGGGACUUGAGAGCUUGCAGUUGCAGGGAGCUUGUGCUCCGGAUGAUUCUACCCGAGUGCAUAAAGGGCAGUGUCCUUGUUAAUACAAGGCGCUGUGCUGCUCUCCUACUCGAUGGAUGGAUAUUUCCAGCUUAAGGUCAUCCUUCAAUCAUGUCAUUCCAACGUGGUGCCUCAUCAGCUGCAUUAUGUGAUGGGACUUCAUCUCCAUAUUCAUCUAUCAAUCCUAAUCCAGACCAAUACUGAUAAUUUGCCAUGGUGAUGUAAUCGAAAACAUAAGUACAUAACCUUAAAUUGCCGACUAGCGAGGUGAUUUUUUAUCUUCAAUUUACCCUUUUUUAUCUUCAAUUUACCCUUGAGAAACUCUAGUUUCAAGUUAAGAU
Long non-coding RNA from Nelumbo nucifera (sacred lotus), 1077 nucleotides. RefSeq lists it as uncharacterized. The record is from RefSeq and is a predicted model, not a curated record. Lineage: Eukaryota; Viridiplantae; Streptophyta; Magnoliopsida; Proteales; Nelumbonaceae.